Molecule: non-coding RNA, 85 nt
Organism: Felis catus (domestic cat)
Lineage: Eukaryota; Metazoa; Chordata; Mammalia; Carnivora; Felidae
Source: Rfam
GCCUGGGUGGCUCAGUCGGUUAAGCAUCUGACUUCGGCUCAGGUCAUCAUCUCGCGGUCCGUGGGUUCGAGCCCAGCGUCGGGCU